RNAcentral lists this ribosomal RNA (492 nucleotides) under uncultured bacterium. RNAcentral's name for it is "partial 16S ribosomal RNA". It matches the Rfam family "Bacterial small subunit ribosomal RNA", at positions 28 to 507 of the family's 1533-position model. The record is from RNAcentral.
GAUGAACGCUAGCUACAGGCUUAACACAUGCAAGUCGAGGGGAAACGACAUCGAAAGCUUGCUUUUGAUGGGCGUCGACCGGCGCACGGGUGAGUAACGCGUAUCCAACCUGCCCACCACUUGGGGAUAACCUUGCGAAAGUAAGACUAAUACCCAAUGAUAUCUCUAGAAGACAUCUGAAAGAGAUUAAAGAUUUAUCGGUGAUGGAUGGGGAUGCGUCUGAUUAGCUUGUUGGCGGGGUAACGGCCCACCAAGGCAACGAUCAGUAGGGGUUCUGAGAGGAAGGUCCCCAACAUUGGAACUGAGACACGGUCCAAACUCCUACGGGAGGCAGCAGUGAGGAAUAUUGGUCAAUGGACGAGAGUCUGAACCAGCCAAGUAGCGUGCAGGAAGACGGCCCUAUGGGUUGUAAACUGCUUUUAUAAGGGAAUAAAGUGAGUCUCGUGAGACUUUUUGCAUGUACCUUAUGAAUAAGGACCGGCUAAUUCCGUG